Mus pahari (shrew mouse) is the source of this 1967-nucleotide long non-coding RNA. RefSeq lists it as uncharacterized. The transcript is spliced from 3 exons. Lineage: Eukaryota; Metazoa; Chordata; Mammalia; Rodentia; Muridae. The record is from RefSeq and is a predicted model, not a curated record.
GUGAACAGCAAAGCCAACCCCCUUGGGACCCUUUCAUCAAAGCCUGUGGAGCCAAGAGCAGAUCUAACCCUGGGAGCAGAGGUGUAGAAGACGGACGCGUCAGUGUGGAGCCACCCGCCUGGCUGCUCCUGUUAGCAUUUCAUUUUGGAAAUACUGGGAACCAAAAAUAGAAGUUCUUGAGCAAAGCUUAAUCCUGCUGGCUUUCAAGACGACUGCUGGAACGGUUGCAACUUGGCCACCAGAGGGCACUGUUGCCUGUGCAAAUGCUGAAAUGUGACCCAUAGUGGGCCAUUGUGGGUCACUGUGGGCCCGCGAUUUCCCAAGAAGACCCAGAUGAUUCUUCCAGAACCUAUCCCAGGCCUGACAGCCUAGGAAAUGUGAAAUACACAUCUAGGUGUUCAACAGAUGGAUGUGGAAAAUGUGUAGUGAACAAACUGUGAGCAGCUUCAAAGAACAAAAUGUUAACCAUUGUAAACAUCUAACUGGCUUCCACCGGAGCCAAGAAAGAUCGCCUAGAAGACAGAAGAUUCCCAUGGGCCUGUCAGAGAGCUGCUUUCAUGGGCAAAGGCUGAGAGAGAAGGAGGGCGCUAGUCCCAGGCUGGGCUUUAAACUCCCUUCCUUCUAGGGAGCGUCUGUCAUUUUUCCUGCUUCUAUGAAGAUAUUGGGCUUUGGUUUGGUGGUGUGGAGUUAGCAUGUGGGGUUGGCUCCACUUUAAGUUGUCCUUUCAGGAACCCAGCACAGGAAUUCAGUGCAGGGUCCCAAGUGAUGGAACCAGCAGCCUGGGGAAAAUGAGUCCAGGGGGCCCCAGAGACUUCCCACCUGGCUUCUACUGGUCCCCAAGGCCAUAUUUGUCUUAAUAUGUCUUUGGGGUGGCUUCUGGUUGCCACCAUCAGCUAGGAGCUCCUCCUGGUAGGUCUGGCUCCCACAGAAUUCCUUUGAAGAUGCUAUGGGGCCCAGUACUCCAAGUCCGUGUCACAGAGUUGGUUCAAGGAGUCUCUCAGAGGACACUAUUCACUGAAUUCAUUACAGAAUUCUUAGGCAGUUGUAAAUAUUUGUUGACUAAGGAUUAAGGAUUAAACAAACUAUGGGAAGGUGGUUGGGGAGCAGGAUCUCAAGAUGUCUUCCUGCCCAAGAGUCUCUGCCACCAGGACCCCACCUCCAACCCAAGCUAUGUCCUUCCCAUCAAUGCCUUGAGCCAGGAUUGCAGUGGAAGGCUGCACCUUCGUAUACAAAGUAACAAAUGCAGAGAUCCAGCACCUGAUCCUCACACUGCUCGACCACACAGCCACAUUGUAACCGCCAUCUACCAUGCUGCAGACUCAAACAAUCCUAGCGGGAUGAACUGAAGCCAGAGCACAGCUGGAGAUUACAGAAGUGUCUACAGCUCUAUCAUCCUGAAUGAGCCUGGGCUCAUCUGAGGGGAAGAGAUAACCAGUGUCAAGCUCCGCAGCAAGUUCCACGUUCCAGGAGCUGGCUUGCGACCCGAGAGCCACAGACCCAUUGUGCUCCACAAGCCCAGUGUCAGCUCCAGGCUCCAGAUCAGCUUGGAUCUCAGAUGCUGGCUUCCUUCCCACAGGUGGUAUACAUGAAGCUGGAAAGCCGUGGGACUGGGGGAGCCAGUCCCGAGCAAGAGUGAGGUUGAAAUGUGUUCAAACCCCCACAGAUCUUGUCCUGAGACCAGCAGGAGUAGGACUGCUCCCUCCCUGCUCUGAGCCUGCGUGCCCCAGGACACAUAAGCCUUGCCCCCACCUCUGACACCCUUGGGAUAGUCAUGUAGCCUGGUGGCCAAAUUACAGGUUAAACUUCCUCUCUCCCUAUAAGGACAUGUCCAGCAAUCACCUGAAAUUCCUCUUCCUGCAAAUGGAGCAUUCCUGACACCUCAGCUCCAGCAAAUGUGUACACUCCCUAGGAAAACCCCUACCCACUCCCCAAGAUGUAUAUAACCCUGUGCACCCCUACCCAAUAAA